Solanum lycopersicum (tomato) is the source of this 1133-nucleotide long non-coding RNA. RefSeq lists it as uncharacterized. The record is from RefSeq and is a predicted model, not a curated record. Lineage: Eukaryota; Viridiplantae; Streptophyta; Magnoliopsida; Solanales; Solanaceae.
UCCACACCUUACCCCUUUUAAAAUUCAAAAUUCAAAAAUUCAAAUUUUAAACAAUUUUCCCUCUUUUGGCCAUAAUUUGGCUUAUAAAAGAGGAGGAAGAGGAGGAGAGAAGGGGGGUUUUUUGGUUUUUUUUUGGUUGGGAGAAAAGAAGAAAGAAGAGAGAAAGAAAGGGAUUGGUUGGGAGAAAAUUUGGGAGAAGUAGGAGAGAAGAGAAGAGGAGGAGGGGGGUCUUCUUUUUUUUUUGAAAAAUUUCAUCCUUUUCUCAGAAAAUUUUGUGCAAAAAAUAUUGAUAGCAUAAAGCACACACAUAUAGGAUAUACGUAGAUGUCUGAGUUUAACGUCAAGCUUGGGUGUUCGCUGCCCCCCCCUCCCCCCCCAUGCUCGUUUCGUCUCCAGCUCGCUGCCCCGAAGAAGGUGAAAUCCUUUUUUUUCUUUCUUCUUUUUAGAUGUUGUCAUUCAACCUUGCUAAUUUUUUUUUGUUUUGUUUUCUUGUGUGGCAUCGAUUCGAGUCCACUUUGGAUUUCAUUUUUGCAUUCCUCGCUGAGCCAUAAAGGCUCAAAACACCCUCCUCGAGCCGUAGAUUCCUCAAAACUGGUGUACAGGUUGCGAAACCAGCAGCUUCGGUGCUGAAAAAUCAAAUUUGCAGAAAGCUGUAUAUCAGCUAUAUACACAGUGUAUACACUGAUAUACAGGUACAAAUACGCAGAGCAAUGCGGAAAUACAGGGAAAAAUAACGGAAAAUAUGUAUUCGAAUAGGUGCAGGGCUCAAGAGGUCCUAAAUGGGUCAAAUAUAUACUGUAUACAGUAUGUAUACCUUUGUGUAUACCCUUCAUGAUCCUUUUUUUCAGGAAUGGGCCAGGGCCCUUCAGCAAUUUUUUAACAGGCCCAAGGGGCCAAAAUGUUUUUGCAGGAUUUUUAAUUUGUUGAAAGGGCCCAAGUCCAUAUUUGGAAUUAGUCUAGGACAGGUGGGCUAAAGCCCAAUGGAAUGAAUUUGGGCAAUAAGGCCUAAUUUCAAAUUUUUUCUCCUCUUUAUUUAUUAUUUGCUUGAAUUGAUUAAUGUGUGGUAGAAUUUUAAUAACCUCCUAAAGUGUAGCCAAUCUUCACAUUUUAAAAUUUACCACUUUAUUUGCUUA